CAACAGGGAUUGCCCCAGUAAUGGCGAAUGAAGCGGCAAGAGCCCAAAUUUGAAAUCGGGCAACCGAGUUGUAAUUUGGAGACGGGACACUAGAGAGGAGGAAGGCGAUUAAGUGCCUUGGAACAGGCUGCCGUAGAGGGUGAGAGCCCCGUGAAUCGCUGGAGACCGAUCAAUUAGUGCCCGCCGAAGAGUCGAGUUGUUUGGGAAUGCAGCUCUAAGUGGGUGGUAUAUUCCAUCUAAGGCUAAAUAUUAGCGAGAGACCGAUAGCAAACAAGUACAGUGAUGGAAAGAUGAAAAGAACUUUGGAAAGAGAGUGAAAUAGUACGUGAAAUUGUUGAAAGGGAAGGGUAUUUGAUCCGACAUGGUGUUUAGCAGCGGCCCGUUCCUCGUGGAUGGGUGCACCUGGUUUACACUGGGCCAGCAUCGGUUCUGGGAGCCAUAUACGGGGUUCGUGAAUGUGGCCCUUCGAUUCUGUCGGAGGGUGUUAUAGCGCGGGCAUCUUGUGGCUAGCCGGGACCGGGGACUGC
Molecule: ribosomal RNA, 527 nt
Filed under: Brettanomyces bruxellensis
Lineage: Eukaryota; Fungi; Ascomycota; Pichiomycetes; Pichiales; Pichiaceae
Description: eukaryotic LSU rRNA
Rfam family: Eukaryotic large subunit ribosomal RNA
Source: RNAcentral